RNAcentral lists this transfer RNA (72 nucleotides) under Actinobacteria bacterium RBG_16_64_13. Its description in RNAcentral is "tRNA-Val". It matches the Rfam family "tRNA". From Rfam's summary of the family: Transfer RNA (tRNA) molecules are approximately 80 nucleotides in length. Lineage: Bacteria; Bacillati; Actinomycetota. The record is from RNAcentral. RNAcentral also lists the same sequence under 5 other names.
GGGCGCAUAGCUCAGUGGGAGAGCACCUGCCUUACAAGCAGGGGGUCGCAGGUUCAAAUCCUGCUGCGCCCA